CGUGUAGGCGGUGCGGUAAGUUGGGCGUGAAAUCCCCGAGCUUAACUCGGGUGGGCCGUUCAAAGACUGCCGUGCUAGGGUGCGGGAGAGGGAAGUGGAAUUUCCGGUGUAGCGGUGAAAUGCGUAGAUAUCGGGAGGAACACCUGCGGCGAAGGCGGCUUCCUGGACCGUAACCGACGCUGAGGCGCGAAAGCUAGGGGAGCAAACAGGAUUAGAUACCCUGGUAGUCCUAGCCCUAAACGAUGAGCACUGGGUGUGGCCCCUCACGAGGCCGUGCCGAAGCUAACGCAUUAAGUGCUCCGCCUGGGGAGUACGGUCGCAAGGCUGAA
This 329-nucleotide ribosomal RNA is filed under the name uncultured bacterium. RNAcentral's name for it is "bacterial SSU rRNA". It matches the Rfam family "Bacterial small subunit ribosomal RNA", at positions 568 to 898 of the family's 1533-position model. The record is from RNAcentral.